RNAcentral lists this unclassified non-coding RNA (302 nucleotides) under uncultured fungus. Its description in RNAcentral is "sequence contains ITS2". The record is from RNAcentral. Lineage: Eukaryota; Fungi.
AACGCAUCUUGCACUCACUGGUAUUCCAGUGAGUACGCCUGUUUCAGUAUCAAAAACACCCCACACUCUAAAAUCUUUUUUUGAGAUUUUUUGAGUGGAACUGAGAGUUCACGGCUGGGUCUCCUCCCAGCUGUACUCUUUAAAUAAAUUAGGCCUGAAAAUUGUAUUGUCUUUUUGCCUGAACAUUUUUUUAAUAUAAAGGAAUGCUCUUGUCAACAAUCUUCUCUGGGGGCCUCCCAAAUAAAUCUUUUUGUCUUAAAAAACUUGAUCUGAAAUCAGGCGGGAUUACCCGCUGAACUUAA